Molecule: ribosomal RNA, 455 nt
Filed under: Arsenophonus endosymbiont of Bemisia tabaci
Lineage: Bacteria; Pseudomonadati; Pseudomonadota; Gammaproteobacteria; Enterobacterales; Morganellaceae
Description: bacterial LSU rRNA
Rfam family: Bacterial large subunit ribosomal RNA
Source: RNAcentral
UCAGUACCCCGAGGAAAGAAAUCAACGAGAUUCCCCCAGUAGCGGCGAGCGAACGGGGAGCAGCCCAGAGUCAACAUCAAUAUUUACCGCAGGAGAAGGUCUGGAAAGGCCGGCAAUAAAGGGUGAUAGCCCCGUAUCUGAAACGGUAAGUGUUGUGAACUCGAAGAGUAGGGCGGGACACGUGUUAUCCUGUCUGAAUAUGGGGGGACCAUCCUCCAAGGUAAAUACUCCUGACUGACCGAUAGUGAACCAGUACCGUGAGGGAAAGGCGAAAAGAACCCCGGGAGGGGAGUGAAAUAGAACCUAAAACCGUGUACUUACAACAGUGGGAGCCCCAAAAGGGUGUGACUGCGUACCUUUUGUAUAAUGGGUCAGCGACUUAUAUUCUGUAGCAAGGUUAACCGGAUAGGGGAGCCGUAGGGAAACCGAGUCCUAACUGGGCGUUAAGUUGCAGG